Molecule: ribosomal RNA, 253 nt
Filed under: uncultured prokaryote
Description: partial 16S ribosomal RNA
Rfam family: Bacterial small subunit ribosomal RNA
Source: RNAcentral
UACGGGGGGGGCAAGCGUUGUUCGGAAUUACUGGGCGUAAAGGGCUCGUAGGUGGCCAACUAAGUCAUACGUGAAAUCCCUCAGCUUAACUGGGGAACUGCGUCUGAUACUGGAUGGCUUGAGUUUGGGAGAGGGAUGCGGAAUUCUAGGUGUAGCAGUGAAAUGCGUAGAUAUCUAGAGGAACACCAGAGGCGAAAGCGAAUCACUGGACAGAACCUGACGCUGAGGCACGAAAGCUAGGGGAGCAAACGGG